RNAcentral lists this ribosomal RNA (3147 nucleotides) under Triticum aestivum (bread wheat). Its description in RNAcentral is "partial small subunit ribosomal RNA". The record is from RNAcentral. Lineage: Eukaryota; Viridiplantae; Streptophyta; Magnoliopsida; Poales; Poaceae.
AUGGCGAACCUGGCGGUGGGGCUGGCCAAGUCGGUGGUGGAGGGGACGCUGAGCAAGGCGCACGCGGCGGUGCAGGAGGAGGCCAAGCUGCGCCUCAGCGCGCGCCGCGACCUCGUCUUCAUCACCGGCGAGCUCGAGAUGAUGCGGUCGUUUCUCAACGUCGCCAACGCGGAGCGCGUCGAGAACGCCGUGGUGCGCACCUGGGUGCGCCAGAUCCGCGAGCUCGCCUACGACGUUGAGGACUGCAUCGAGCUCGUCGUCCACCUCGACAAAGGGAGGACCAGCUUCUGGUUCCGCCUCCGCCGGCUCUGCGUCCCCUGGACGCGCCCGCCGCGGCCGCCGGCGCUGGAUCAGGCGGUCGAUGAGAUCGAGCAGCUCAAGGCCAGGGUCGCCGACGUCAGCACCAGGAACGCGCGCUACAGCCUCAUCAGCGACACUGGAUCCAAGCCCGUGGCGCAGCAGCAGCUGACGGCGGCCGCUGCCGCCGGCGACACGGUGGCCGCGUCCAACAUGCUCGCUGAGGCAAGGUAUGCCGCCAUGAGAGAGCAGGUCCUCGGCAGCGAUCUCACCCAGCUAGUCACCAAAGAAGGCGGUGACGGCCACGACCUUCAGCUUCAUGUGGUCUCGGUGUGGGGGUCAGCCGGCUUCCACGGUGCCACAUCCAUCAUCACCAAGGCCUACAGUGACCCAGAGAUCUGCAGAAACUUCACCUACCGCGCCUGGGUGAAGCUCAUGCAUCCCUUCAUUCCGCACGACUUCGUCCGGAGCUUGAUGCUUCAGUUCUGCGCAGAAGAAGAAGAACAUGAAGGACCGGACACAUGUAUGGAUGUCCUAACGAUGAUGCAGGCCACCCAGGAGGUCCUCUUUAAGGAAUUCAAGAAGAUGCUCACGGAGAAGAGUUACCUCGUUGUCUUGGAAGACCUCUCAAACAUGGCUGACUGGCAUGCUUUGAGGAAGUUCCUUCCAGACAGGAGGAAAGGCAGCUGGAUCAUCGUGUCCACGCAGCAACCUGAAGUAGCAAGCUCGUGCAUCGGGCACCCAUACCAGAUACUGGAGCUCAAGCAGUUCUCGCCCGAGCACUCUGUUUGUGCCCUCUUCAAGAAGGGUUCUGAUGGCGAUGGAGAUAAAGGCAAGAAAACAAUGGUGGAAGAUUCUCCCCUCAUUGGACGUGAGUCGCUAAUGAAUCAACUUCGUCAAUAUCCAGCAAAAGCACGUAUAAAUUCUUGGCAGGUGAUGUCUGUGUGGGGAAUAGCCGGUGUUGGGAAGUCGACUCUCGUGAGAAAGUUGUAUGAUGACACAAUGCGCGACACAAACCUAUUCACAGAGUACCAUUGGGUGAAUAUAUCUCAUCCAUUCAAUUUAAGGGACUUCCAAAGGAGCUUACCUCCGAAUUUUCGUUUUGCGGAAUUAGGUUGGCUCAUUGUUAUUGAUAAUGUCCAGUCCAAGAAGGAAUGGGACUUGAUACAAACUUCCUUGGUAAUACCUAGAUCUUCUAAGAGCGUUGUCAUUGUCAUCACAACCGAAGCAAGCAUUGCCGCAUAUUGCGCGAAUCGCGAAGAGCUUGUGUUUAAUGUCAAAGGUCUGGAAGCUGCUGCAGCCUCAACUCUCUUUGAAAAGGUAUACCUGGAAAAAUCAUCAGACACAGACACAAGAGCUCUACAAUAUAUCCAAGUAGAAGAACUUAUUUUGAAGUGUGGAGGUCUUCCCAAAGUGAUAGUUGCUAUAGCUGCCGUAUUGGCCAAACAAACGGUCACAAGGAUGGAUACUGUGGUUUCUUUAAAUCAAAGAUUUAUGCACCACCUGGAGACUGAGCCGGACUAUGAUAGUCUAUGUGAUCUAUUUGGUUGGAUGCAUUCCUAUUUCCGUACUUGCACUGAUUCAAUCAAGCCAUGUAUCUUCUACCUGUCGAUCUUUCCUCGAGACCGCCUCAUUCGGCGAAGGCGAUUAGUAAGGCGGUGGAUUGCAGAGGGAUACUCUAGAGACGGCGACAAUGAAUCUGCAGAGGAGAAUGGGGAGAGGCAGUUCUCCGAGCUCCUUGAUCUGAGCAUAAUCCAGCAGGUGCCAUACUUAGUCACAAACACAUUGAAUGCCACAAGAUUGGCGCUGCUGUGUCAGGUCAGUGGUUUUUUCCACGAGUACAUCAUCCCGGGCCAAGAAGAAGAAAACCUUAUGUUUGAGCUGGGGCCUAAUUGUGCCCUAACCACCCAGCGCACAGGGCGUCACCUUGUCAUAUUGCACGACUGGAAGAGGGACAAAAUUGUGUUUGAGAGCAUGGAUUUCUCGCGGCUUAGGUCACUGACGGUGUUUGGCAGGUGGAAACCAUUCUUCAUCUCUGAAAGUAUGAUGCUUCUUCGGGUGCUUGAUCUAGAGGAUGCAUCAGGUAUAGAGUAUGCGGAUCUUGAGAACAUAUUAAAAUGGCUGCGUCGUCUCAAGUUCCUUUCACUACGAGGACGGCACGAGAUACACCAUCUUCCAGAUAAUAUGGAUCAUCUGAGGCAGCUGCAGACUUUGGAUGUCAGGGGCACCUCCGUACUCACCCUGCCAGAGAACAUCACCAAGUUGCAGAAGCUACAGUACAUACGUGCCGGCGCCACUUGCCCAGCUGCAUCAGCACCACCUGCUCCAUCCAGCUGGUUCUGCACACCUCACCGUAUAGUUGGUGUUCAGGUGCCUGGAGGCAUUGGGAAACUGACGGCGUUGCACACGCUUGGUGUCGUCAACAUUUCUGCUUCUGGUGGGAAGGCCAUGGCGAAAGCUCUCAAGAAGCUCACCCAGUUGCGCAAGCUCGGAGUGUCCGGCGUUAACAGGAAGAACAGCAAGGAUAUUUUCUCUGCAAUCCAGGGUCAUGUUCAUCUGGAAUCCUUGUCUGUCCAGCUUGACAAGGACAACCAAGGCUGUUGCUUGGAUGAUCAGACAUCCUUGCCUUGGAAUAAUCUACGGAGUCUUAAACUGUACGGGCUUCAAGAUAGGUUGCCGUUGUCAAGCGGCCUUGGCUCUGACCAAGGAGUAUUGAGCGACACACUUAUCAAACUCAGGAAGAUGGAUCUGGAGAUGUCCACUUUGAAAGAACGAGACAUUAAGUUCCUCGGCGAGGUACCAAAUCUAUGUAUUCUACGCCUUCGUAUCAAGCAGCCCAGUCCAGUUUAA